This is a long non-coding RNA of Gallus gallus (chicken), 2512 nucleotides long. The record is from Ensembl. Lineage: Eukaryota; Metazoa; Chordata; Aves; Galliformes; Phasianidae.
AUCUCUCUGGAGAUUCCUGUGUAUUAGUCUUGCUGAAGAGUCCUCAUGCUGUAUGAUGGCAUGCAAUGCAAUGCAGCAGAUGUACUGCAGUAACACCAGAGCACCUUCUGGGAAGCAUGCAGGAAAAAACAUAGUAGAUCUAAACUACUUCUCAACUCUGAACUGUAGCCUGACUUGGAUUAAAGGCUUUGAACAACUCUGUCAAAGGACUGCAGUAAUACCAAAGGAAAAUAACAUUUGUCCAUGACACCUGUUUGGAAAUUGCUAUGAAGGGCAAGAAAUACCAGAAAGUCCUUCACUGCAAGGCAGUGAAAGAAUACCUGGAAACUCUAGAAGCAUUUGGGCCUCUACUGCUUAAUGAAAUAUAUAGGUUUGCAUGGAAGUAACAUGUGACAGAGCAAUCCCUCCUUAGAUUAAACUCUUUCUGGUUAUGAAGAGAACUGCAGAAGUCUCAUCCUUCUUGGGUUAUAUUCCAAAGCUUCUGACAGUGUGUAGCUCCCAGUCAUUCACAUGAAAGCAAAGCAAGACUUGCUUAUCACUGAUGUGCACAGACUGGGACUGAUGCUGAAGAUAAACACAGCCAUCUACCAGUAGGUCUGUAAGGUUACGUGAUAGGUAAUGGAGGUCUACCCCACAGGAAAGACUUGGCUAGCCAAUAGGCAUCCAGGGGUUGCUAAACAGGAUGCAGGACUUCUGGACCAACAGCAUGACUGAGAUAUUUUAGAAUACCUUAGGCGAUGCUGUGAAGCUGAAUCCUACAAAACGUAUAGAUGUAGUAGGAGCUGAAGAACCUACCUGAUUCCAUUGGAUGUGCUGUCCACGUCAACUCAGCAUCCUAUAACUACAGAGAGAAUUCAGACAUCUCUGCCUAGACAGUUCGAAGUAUCAACAGUCCCCAUCCAGCACAUUGCACCAGUAACCACGUAGUCUAGGAACGUUUUUCAUCUUCUGGUCUCAAAAAGAACUAGAAAGGAGUGAGGUAUCUUGCUUGUAGUCACGAUCCAAGCAGAGUAUACAUUAGAAGUACUUUAGAAAGUUAUUACUACAGCUGGCCCUUAAAACAUUUAUCAGAUGGAACUCUACUCAAAACACUUGGACAUACAUCUGAAUUGCUGCGUUGUACCAAGUUAUAGGGCACAAUCUAACUCAGAUGUCUGAAGAUAAGUGACAUCAGAUUUUAUCUGCAAGUGACCCUCUCCAUCAAUUUUGAAGAGCCUCAGGAGAUGGACUCUAGCAGGAAUUCAACUUGAUGAUCCUUGUGGGGCCCCUUCCAGCUCAGGGUAUUUUAUGAUGAUUCUAAGACAGCCCAUUUGACUAGCAGACAGUGGGCCAGUUAUAAACAUUCCCUAUUUCUUUUCUCUAUAGUUGACUGGAUGCACAUUAACUGUAACAGGAGUUUGGAUGCACAUAAUCUGGGUGUCUUAGUCUGGAGCUUAUUAAAGUCAGUCAUCUUGUGGAGAUGACUUCCAAUCCUCACCCACAGUAUCCAACAGCUUAUGCAGAAUGUCUUCAUCCUCUUUGACUAUGAGCUAAACUGUGUUGCAUUAUAUCACAUUUGCAACAAAUACAGACAACUGUGACAGCUCAGCUGGCACACAGUAGCUUGCAAAAGCAUGGUAACUUGUUUGUGCCCCUGAGCCAUAACUCUGAAAUAGUUCAGAUGCAAACAUGCAGUUUGCGUUCUAGCUAAAUCAAGGACAAAGGCACUUAAAUCCUAAUGUAGAUUGAUGAGAAUUUGAUGGAAGAGGAUAGCUUUUAUUACAGCUCCUUAAGCCUGUCUCUCAUCUAGAUGGAGCUAAGCGCAGUGUGGGAACAUACUGGGACUUGUUUUCAUUACAAAUAGAGCCUGGCUAAAAUCAGAAUCUUUUUCAUGCGUUUUUACUUAUUUGAACCAAAAUGGAAACUGUAGACUUGAUGAGUACAAUUGCACAGGUGCAAAAUUAUUCCCUUCUGGAAUACUGGUCACCUUUGUCCAAGAAAAUAAACAUGAUGCAGAGAAGAGCAACUGGGACCAUCUUAGAAAUGUGGAAAUUCAUAUAUGAGACAGGAGGCUUGUUUUAACUAUCAGAACAGAAGCUGAAAGAUGAUAUGGCUAUUGAAACUACAGGACAUUUUUGGCAUAAGGACAAAUGUGUAUUAACUGGUCAUGAAUAAAUUUUGAAGAGACAUUAGAAGAUGGUUUCAAACUGUCAGAAGAGUGAGGUUUUGAAGUCAGCUUUCCCAUAGGAGUAGUUAUGGCAAGAAACCUAACCACUUUUAUGAAGGAGCACACUAAAUUUAUGAACAGAUUAUGUUACGUGGGAGGCUGAGGUAGCAUGUGGCUGGAUUUGAUGAUCCACAAGAUUCCUUUCAGGCUACUUAAGAGAAAAUCUUAGAGUUUAAUUUUCAACUGCCCUUUAUGCUUUCUCUGUAAGAACUGUAAGGGCAAAAAUAUUCUUACUUUGCACCUAUGACUUUUGUGCUGUUACCACCUUGAACAAACAAUUAAGUGAUUGGAAAACUAUGGAAAUAG